Non-coding RNA from Pelobates cultripes (western spadefoot toad), 240 nucleotides. The record is from the annotation of a GenBank genome assembly. NCBI's taxonomy places the organism in Eukaryota, Metazoa, Chordata, Amphibia, Anura, Pelobatidae.
GCAGUUACAGCCUCUUUCUGUGCUUCUGGGAUUCUGUAUGGUUUAAGGCUUACCUUCACCCCUGGUUCUGUAACAAUAUCAUGCUUGAUAACGUUAGUCCUGCCCGGAACUACAGAAAAUACAUCCCGGUUUCUACCAAUGAAGUCCCUUACUUCCUGUUUCUGGUGGGGGGACAGGGUGUCUGGUAUAUUUACUUCAAGUUCACUACUAGUCUUAUCAGUGACAACUGAAGUAGUUAAG